This 237-nucleotide ribosomal RNA is filed under the name uncultured bacterium. RNAcentral's name for it is "partial 16S ribosomal RNA". It matches the Rfam family "Bacterial small subunit ribosomal RNA", at positions 15 to 263 of the family's 1533-position model. The record is from RNAcentral.
GAUCCUGGCUCAGGAUGAACGCUGACAGAAUGCUUAACACAUGCAAGUCUACUUAAACUUCGGUUUGGGUGGCGGACGGGUGAGUAACGCGUAAAGAACUUGCCUCACAGUUAGGGACAACAUUUGGAAACGAAUGCUAAUACCUGAUAUUAUGAUUUUAGGGCAUCCUAGGAUUAUGAAAGCUAUAUGCGCUGUGAGAGAGCUUUGCGUCCCAUUAGCUAGUUGGAGAGGUAACGG